Oryzias latipes (Japanese medaka) is the source of this 1177-nucleotide long non-coding RNA. RefSeq lists it as uncharacterized. NCBI's taxonomy places the organism in Eukaryota, Metazoa, Chordata, Actinopteri, Beloniformes, Adrianichthyidae. The record is from RefSeq and is a predicted model, not a curated record.
CGGGUGUGGCGUUAUGCCGCAGCGUGAGCAUGGCAGCGUAGCUCCAACGCGUGACGUCAUGACGACAUUCUAGGCCUCCUAGCGCAGAGAGGCGUUUUGCUCCUUUAUGCAGCGCUUCGGGAGAGUUCUGCAGACCUGCUAUGGAACCGGGACCCAAAAGAAAGUUUUCACCCACGUGGGAGUAUUUUGACAUGAUUUCUCCCACCAAGGUGAAAUGUCGAAUUUGUGACAAGGAGGUUGGUUACAACAACAACACGUCGUCCAUGAUCAGACAUCACCGGUCCUUCCAUGAGCCUGGAGACAGGCCGAGCAAAGAUUCCAGGAAACAAUUAUUAGACGAUGCUCUGGUUGACAUGGUGAUCAAGGACAGUCAGCCAUUUUCAGUGGUAGAGGAUGAAGGAUUUAGAAAUUUUGUUGAUUUACUUGACCCUACAUAUAUUUUACCAACUAAAAAGGCAUUAAAGACUAUGGUGGCAGUAAAGUCUAUAAAUCCCAAGUAGAAGCAGAGGAAAGGCUGAAUCGCAGCGGCGUCGCGGACAGAGUUAUCUCCUCCUGAAACACCGGGAAGUGCAUCACCAUAUCGCCAAGAAGCCUGAAAAAAGGGGGACUGGAUCAAAAAGUUUAUAUUCUUUUUUUUACUGACGAAGAACAAAAGUGCUAUUCAACUGAGCGUGCUUCAGAGGAAUCUGAUUGCAUAAACACACAUGGGAUUGUAUAUUUACUUGUUAAUAAAUACACUGGAUUGCUGAACCAAGCCUGCUGCUGUUUUUACACAAAAUUUAAGGAAAGAUUAAUUAAUGUAAAGACAUGACCUAAUAUGGAGCUUGUUGCGAUUAUCAAGGCAGGUAAAGGAUGGACUGCUGAUGAGCAAACCUGGCAGGUGCUUUUAACACAUUUGUGCAGAGGUGUGAGGCAAACUCUGCCUGCAGAGCUUCUUUUUCCUGGAAACGUAGGUUAUGGGUUUUGGUGAUGCCUGCCAACAAAAAAGGGCGUUUUAGUGGAUUUGGAGCAUACUGCCACCAAGUGUUCAAAAGGAACAUUACAACUUAAGAGUGUUUCCCAUUACAGUACACACUUCUACGUAUCGCUACAGAUGUGUGUUUGAUAUUUGCAGUUGUGUUUUUUAUUGCAUACCUAAAAGUAUAUCCUUGUAAAAUGGCAUAAUGUACAAUAAAGU